GCCUAACACAUGCAAGUCGAGCGGUAACAGAAAGUAGCUUGCUACUUUGCUGACGAGCGCGCGGACGGGUGAGUAAUGCUUGGGAACAUGCCUUGAGGUGGGGGACAACAGUUGGAAACGACUGCUAAUACCGCAUAAUGUCUACGGACCAAAGGGGGCUUCGGCUCUCGCCUUUAGAUUGGCCCAAGUGGGAUUAGCUAGUUGGUGAGGUAAUGGCUCACCAAGGCGACGAUCCCUAGCUGGUUUGAGAGGAUGAUCAGCCACACUGGGACUGAGACACGGCCCAGACUCCUACGGGAGGCAGCAGUGGGGAAUAUUGCACAAUGGGCGCAAGCCUGAUGCAGCCAUGCCGCGUGUGUGAAGAAGGCCUUCGGGUUGUAAAGCACUUUCAGUCAGGAGGAAAGGUUAGUAGUUAAUACCUGCUAGCUGUGACGUUACUGACAGAAGAAGCACCGGCUAACUCCGUGCCAGCAGCCGCGGUAAUACGGAGGGUGCGAGCGUUAAUCGGAAUUACUGGGCGUAAAGCGUACGCAGGCGGUUUGUUAAGCGAGAUGUGAAAGCCCCGGGCUCAACCUGGGAACUGCAUUUCGAACUGGCAAACUAGAGUGUGAUAGAGGGUGGUAGAAUUUCAGGUGUAGCGGUGAAAUGCGUAGAGAUCUGAAGGAAUACCGAUGGCGAAGGCAGCCACCUGGGUCAACACUGACGCUCAUGUACGAAAGCGUGGGGAGCAAACGGGAUUAGAUACCCCGGUAGUCCACGCCGUAAACGAUGUCUACUAGAAGCUCGGAGCCUCGGUUCUGUUUUUCAAAGCUAACGCAUUAAGUAGACCGCCUGGGGAGUACGGCCGCAAGGUUAAAACUCAAAUGAAUUGACGGGGGCCCGCACAAGCGGUGGAGCAUGUGGUUUAAUUCGAUGCAACGCGAAGAACCUUACCUACACUUGACAUACAGAGAACUUACCAGAGAUGGUUUGGUGCCUUCGGGAACUCUGAUACAGGUGCUGCAUGGCUGUCGUCAGCUCGUGUUGUGAGAUGUUGGGUUAAGUCCCGCAACGAGCGCAACUCCUAUCCUUAGUUGCUAGCAGGUAAUGCUGAGAACUCUGAGGAGACUGCCGGUGAUAA
This 1120-nucleotide ribosomal RNA is filed under the name Pseudoalteromonas sp. 124. RNAcentral describes it as "bacterial SSU rRNA". It matches the Rfam family "Bacterial small subunit ribosomal RNA", at positions 46 to 1161 of the family's 1533-position model. The record is from RNAcentral. Lineage: Bacteria; Pseudomonadati; Pseudomonadota; Gammaproteobacteria; Alteromonadales; Pseudoalteromonadaceae.